UUAUUUGCGGAUGUAGCAUCAUCAAGAUUCACAUGCAAACGCAGGUGGGUGGGACUGUGAUGCAAUCUAAGUGCUGUGCCAACCAUGCCAUAGGUCUUUUGGAAGUGAGAAUCUUGAUGAUGCUGCAUCAGCCAUAAA
Phaseolus vulgaris (common bean) is the source of this 138-nucleotide non-coding RNA. The record is from Rfam. Lineage: Eukaryota; Viridiplantae; Streptophyta; Magnoliopsida; Fabales; Fabaceae.